RNAcentral lists this ribosomal RNA (386 nucleotides) under Foraminifera environmental sample. RNAcentral's name for it is "SSU rRNA". It matches the Rfam family "Eukaryotic small subunit ribosomal RNA", at positions 1129 to 1432 of the family's 1831-position model. The record is from RNAcentral. Lineage: Eukaryota; Foraminifera.
ACGCACGUGUGAAACUUGAAGGAAUUGACGGAAGGGCACCACAAGAACGCGUGGAGCAUGUGGCUUAAUUUGACUCAACGCGGGAAAUCUUACCGGGUCCGGACACACUGAGGAUUGACAGGCAAUAUUAAAUAAAGUUUAAUUUUCGGACUAUCUGAUAUUUAUGUUAAAUAUGCUAGUCCUUUCAUGAUUAUGUGAUAGGUGGUGCAUGGCCGUUCUUAGUUCGUGGAGUGAUCUGUCUGCUUAAUUGCGUUUCACUAAGGGCUUAUCUAAUUAUAACGUGUGUUGCUAGAGUUUUAUACCUUUGUGACCCCUUUAAUUAGUGUGUGUCUAUAAUGGUAGCUUUGGCUACACAAAUUACGUCCUGAAAGCAACGAACGUGACCG